GUGAGGCAUUUAAGGGAUGGCCCCUGUGAUAACCAGCGCCAUUUUUUACAUUCGGCCCCUGCAGAGGAAUUUGAGCGUGGACAAUAUUAUGGAACCAAAUGCUCAAGGAACCGAAUUAGGACCUGUGAUGCCUUGCAUUCACUGUGGGCACGGAUUUGCCUUCUCUGAGUUAAAACGCCACAGUGAAAGUUAUUCAAGUGAAUCACAAAGUGAGAGGAGAGUUGAAGGUGCAAGACAAUUUAGUUCUGACAGCGGG
Monopterus albus (swamp eel) is the source of this 256-nucleotide long non-coding RNA. RefSeq lists it as uncharacterized. NCBI's taxonomy places the organism in Eukaryota, Metazoa, Chordata, Actinopteri, Synbranchiformes, Synbranchidae. The transcript has 3 exons. The record is from RefSeq and is a predicted model, not a curated record.